Long non-coding RNA from Mirounga angustirostris (Northern elephant seal), 440 nucleotides. RefSeq lists it as uncharacterized. The transcript is spliced from 3 exons. NCBI's taxonomy places the organism in Eukaryota, Metazoa, Chordata, Mammalia, Carnivora, Phocidae. The record is from RefSeq and is a predicted model, not a curated record.
CCUGAAUAGACCUCAGGUUCUGCGUCCUGCUUCUAACUCAUUCGCUAGACUGCCAUUUGAACAUUGAUCUCCUCACACCACUCUUAUGACCAGAAAAUAUAUGAACUCUCUGGUAUCUCCCAAAUCAAGAUGUGAAUAAGAAAAUGGAUAAUCCUGAUUGCUACAAGCAGCCUUCUUGUUACCACAGAAAGCACCAACUUCUGAAUGAAACUGAUGCUGUGGGCCACAGAGCAGAGAGGGGAAAGAGCCUGUGUUCUUAUUAACAUCACCUACCUGCUGAAUCAACUAACCCUGAAGACCGCUCUAUGUCUGAUUCUCCUUUUAUUGCAUCCUAUGCGUCCUGGAAACUAAGAAGGAGCAGCCUCACCGAGAUCAUCCCAUGUCUUGAAGACACUUCAGUUGUACGGGAAAAGCCAGCCAAUCUGACCACUCACUUCAGG